This 438-nucleotide ribosomal RNA is filed under the name uncultured soil bacterium. RNAcentral's name for it is "bacterial SSU rRNA". It matches the Rfam family "Bacterial small subunit ribosomal RNA", at positions 26 to 468 of the family's 1533-position model. The record is from RNAcentral.
AGAAUGAACGUUGGCGGCAUGGAUUAGGCAUGCAAGUCGAGCGAGAAGGAAAUCAAAGUUUACUUUGGUUUCCGGAAAGCGGCGCAAGGGAGAGUAACGCGUAGUUAUCUACCCCAAGGCCCGGAAUAGCUGCGGGAAACUGCAGGUAAUGCCGGAUAAUAUCCCCGGAUCAAAGGUGUGAUUCCGCCUUGGGAGGAGACUGCGUUGUACUAGCUUGUUGGUGGGGUAAUGGCCUACCAAGGCUACGAUGCAUAGCGGGCGUGAGAGCGUGGCCCGUCUCACUGGGACUGAAACACUGCCCAGACACCUACGGGUGGCUGCAGUCGAGAAUCUUCGGCAAUGGGCGAAAGCCUGACCGAGCAAUGCCGCGUGCGGGAUGAAGGCCCUCGGGUUGUAAACCGCUGUCGUAGGGGGAGAAAGGUCUCAUGAAGAAUGAGA